AUGGGCGCACAGCUCCUCUGCUCUGUAGUGCUAUGCCUCCUGGGGGCAGGCUCCUUUUAUGCUGCAGUUACUCAGACUCCAAGACAUCUGAUCAAAAUGAAAGGAGAGAAAGCAAAGAUGAACUGUACCCCUGAAAAGGAGCACACUGCCGUGUUCUGGUAUCAACAGACACAGAGCAGAGAGUUAAAGUUCCUAAUUUACUUUCAGAAUCAACGGCCUGUUGAUCAAAUAGACAUGAUUAAGGAGCGAUUCUCAGCUGAGUGUCCCUCAAGUUCACUCUGCAGCCUGGAAAUCAAAACUUCUGAGGCAGAGGACACUGCACUGUACUUCUGUGCCAGCAGUCGGUCCACAGUGCUAAACUGUGCACUUCCUUCAGUUCACAAACCCUCCAUGGUGCCAACUUAA
Non-coding RNA from Psammomys obesus (fat sand rat), 405 nucleotides. NCBI's taxonomy places the organism in Eukaryota, Metazoa, Chordata, Mammalia, Rodentia, Muridae. The record is from the annotation of a RefSeq genome assembly.